UAGAGUUUGAUCAUGGCUCAGGAUGAACGCUGGCGGCGUGCUUAACACAUGCAAGUCGAGCGGUAAGGCCCCUUCGGGGGUACACGAGCGGCGAACGGGUGAGUAACACGUGAGGAACCUGCCCCCCUCUCUGGGAUAACUCCGGGAAACCGGAGCUAAUACCGGAUACUCCGGCGAGAUCGCAUGGUCUUGUCGGGAAAGCUCCGGCGGAGGGGGAUGGCCUCGCGGCCCAUUAGCUAGUUGGUGGGGUAACGGCCUACCAAGGCUGCGAUGGGUAGCCGAGCUGAGAGGCUGAUCGGCCACACUGGGACUGAGACACGGCCCAGACUCCUACGGGAGGCAGCAGUGGGGAAUAUUGCGCAAUGGGCGAAAGCCUGACGCAGCAACGCCGCGUGCGGGAUGAAGGCCUUCGGGUUGUAAACCGCUUUCAGCAGGGACGAAACUGACGGUACCUGCAGAAGAAGCCCCGGCUAACUACGUGCCAGCCGCCGCGGUAAUUCA
RNAcentral lists this ribosomal RNA (501 nucleotides) under uncultured bacterium. Its description in RNAcentral is "bacterial SSU rRNA". It matches the Rfam family "Bacterial small subunit ribosomal RNA", at positions 1 to 527 of the family's 1533-position model. The record is from RNAcentral.